UAUAUGUGUGUAUGUGUGUGUGUGUGUGUGUGUGUGUGUGUGUGUGUGUGUGUGUGUGAAUGAGUAUGGAGAGCAGCUACACCGUGGAUGCUGGAAGUACUUCCCUCGGAAAAGCCGACUUUGCGUUAGACUUCUGGGCAAGCAUUUUCAAACAGCCUCAGUGUAGUCACAACCGUAACCUUGGAAUUCGAGAGCACCAGGAGGCCUGAUACGGUGGUUUAGCUUAAUCCUAGCCCUCAGGAGGUUGAGACAGGAAAUUUGAAGCCAACAUUUGAAGCCAGACUGGACUACAUGGCAGGACUAUAAGAAAGGGUGGAGUUGGAGGCUCUGUUGGUUU
Myodes glareolus (Bank vole) is the source of this 337-nucleotide non-coding RNA. The record is from RefSeq and is a predicted model, not a curated record. Lineage: Eukaryota; Metazoa; Chordata; Mammalia; Rodentia; Cricetidae.